GCUUAGGGGCAUGGUAGCCGAGUGGGUAAAGCGCUAUAGCUAUUGACUCGGUACCGAAGAUCGAUGGUUGGAUUCCAUCCUGGAGCG
This 87-nucleotide transfer RNA is filed under the name Rhamnusium bicolor. RNAcentral describes it as "tRNA-OTHER". The record is from RNAcentral. Lineage: Eukaryota; Metazoa; Arthropoda; Insecta; Coleoptera; Cerambycidae.